Molecule: ribosomal RNA, 515 nt
Filed under: uncultured bacterium
Lineage: Bacteria
Description: partial 16S ribosomal RNA
Rfam family: Bacterial small subunit ribosomal RNA
Source: RNAcentral
GAUGAACGCUGGCGGCGUGCCUAAUACAUGCAAGUCGAGCGAAUGGAUUAAGAGCUUGCUCUUAUGAAGUUAGCGGCGGACGGGUGAGUAACACGUGGGUAACCUGCCCAUAAGACUGGGAUAACUCCGGGAAACCGGGGCUAAUACCGGAUAACAUUUUGAACCGCAUGGUUCGAAGUUGAAAGGCGGCUUCGGCUGUCACUUAUGGAUGGACCCGCGUCGCAUUAGCUAGUUGGUGAGGUAACGGCUCACCAAGGCAACGAUGCGUAGCCGGGCUGAGAGGGUGAUCGGCCGCACUGGGACUGAGACACGGCCCAGACUCCUACGGGAGGCAGCAGUAGGGAAUCUUCCGCAAUGGGCGAAAGUCUGACGGAGCAACGCCGCGUGAGUGAUGAAGGCUUUCGGGUCGUAAAGCUCUGUUGUUAGGGAAGAACAAGUGCUAGUUGAAUAAGCUGGCACCUUGACGGUACCUAACCAGAAAGCCACGGCUAACUACGUGCCAGCCGCCGCAGUAA